UCAAAGCAGAGGCCUACCAGCCCACGACACGACAAGCUUCGGUUGGUUGCCUUGCCUCGUCGUGUCUCCCGUUCCCCCACCUCUCCAACCGCGGCAAUUGCAGAACCGGAGAGCUCCGGGUUCCUCCGUUCCGAAAUCCGCCGAAUCCUCCCGAGCCCCCGAGCCCCCGAGCCGGCCGAUCCAUUGCUCGCCGCGAUGGAGUCUCAGCACGCCUCCAGGGGCCGCCGCACCCUGGAGGAGAUCCGGCAGAAGAGGGCAGCCGAGAGGAUGCAGCAGCAAACGCCCGCCGCGACCGCGUCCCACGGCGACCCUCACGGGAACCAAAGAGCCGCGGCAGAGCUCCUUGCACGAGUUCAACAACUUGAAAAUGGGAACUUGGAAUUGGAGAGGGAAAACCAAAUGCUGAUGUCCAAGUUUGCCGAGAAGGAAGUCGAAAAGGAUUCCCUGGUUAACCGAUUGAAUGACAUCGAGAAAAAUGUAGUGCCCUCGUUGAAAAAGGCUCUAAAUGACAUUUCAUUGGAGAAAGACGCUGCAGUUAUCGCUAAGGAGGAUGCUCUAGCGCAAGUAAGGAGCAUGAAGAAGCGGUUGAGAGAGGCAGAAGAGGAGCAGUACAGGGCAGAAGAAGACUCUGCAUCCUUGAGAGCGCAGCUCAAUACCCUGCAGCAGCAAGUAAUGAGCAACUCUUACAGUGGAUAUGCAGUGGGAACAUCAAGUGAGCAAACUCUUGCCAUGGAAAAGGAGAUACAGGAUUUACAAACUCAGCUAAAGCAAGAGUCACUGCUAAGGCAACAGGAGCAGCAAAAACUAGCUGAAGAGUCCCUACUGAGGCAGCAAGAUCAGCAAAGGCUAGUUGAAGAACAAUCCCGUACCACUUCUCUUGCGGCUGAAAAGCGAGAGAUGGAAGAGAAAAUUGCUGCAUUAACAAAGAAAUCUUCAGAAGAGGCUUCUGAAUUUGCUGCACGCAAGGCAUUUUCAAUGCAAGAUAGGGAAAAACUUGAAAACCAGUUGCAUGAUAUGGCUUUGAUGGUUGAGAGGUUAGAGGGCAGCCGCCAAAAGCUGCUGAUGGAGAUUGAUUCCCAGUCAUUAGAAAUAGAGAAUCUGUUUGAGGAGAACUCAGUCUUGUCAACAUCAUAUCAAGAAGCUAUGUCUGUUACGAUGCAAUGGGAGAACCAGGUUAAAGAUUGUCUGAAGCAAAAUGAAGAGCUUCGUCUCCACUUAGAGAAGCUAAGAAUUGAGCAAGCUAACCUGUUGAAAACAAAAAAUACUAGUGUCGAGCUAGAUGGCCAAAGUGAGACCAGCAUCCCACCAGAACUGGUCACAGAGAAUCUUUCUCUAAAGGAUGAACUUGUCAAAGAACAGAGCAGAUCUGAGGGAUUAUCGGCAGAGAUAAUGAAACUUUCAGCUCAGCUUAGAAAGGCAGUCCAAGCACAGAAUAACCUGACACGCUUAUAUAGACCUGUAUUAAAAGACAUCGAGGGUAAUCUGAUGAAAAUGAAACAAGAAACUUAUGCGACAAUUCUAUGAUUUUGCCGAGGUAUGAGUGCAAACCUCAGCAAUGACACCACUUGCACCACAAAUUGAUCGGUUUUUUUUUUUUUUGCUGUGUCUGCCUACCUUCAUUAGGCAGUUCUUAAUUUGUAGAGUUCAAUCAACAUUAUUGUACAUGUGUGGCACUGAUGUAUUUAUCAUUUAUGCGGAUGUAUUUUGUAAACUGCCUGAAAUGAUGAAAGGAAAAACCAGUAUACCAAUUGUCAGCCCUGUGGACAUUUAUUUAGCUUGCGCUGGAUCAUUUGUGUUUGCCUCGUGCCUACACAAACAUGUGCCUACAAAAUUAGUUUGCCUCGUGCCUAACUUUGCACCUUAA
This 1864-nucleotide ribosomal RNA is filed under the name Triticum aestivum (bread wheat). RNAcentral's name for it is "partial small subunit ribosomal RNA". Lineage: Eukaryota; Viridiplantae; Streptophyta; Magnoliopsida; Poales; Poaceae. The record is from RNAcentral.